Molecule: ribosomal RNA, 711 nt
Filed under: Enterococcus hirae
Lineage: Bacteria; Bacillati; Bacillota; Bacilli; Lactobacillales; Enterococcaceae
Description: partial 23S ribosomal RNA
Rfam family: Bacterial large subunit ribosomal RNA
Source: RNAcentral
GGGGAGGGAAAUAAUAGUACCGAAGUUCCUGAUGUCACACUGCCGAGAAAAGCUUCUAGUGAGAAAACAACGACCCGUACCGCAAACCGACACAGGUAGUCGAGGAGAGAAUCCUAAGGUGAGCGAGAGAACUCUCGUUAAGGAACUCGGCAAAAUGACCCCGUAACUUCGGGAGAAGGGGUGCUGAUCUAAGAUCAGCCGCAGUGAAUAGGCCCAAGCGACUGUUUAUCAAAAACACAGGUCUCUGCAAAAUCGUAAGAUGAAGUAUAGGGGCUGACGCCUGCCCGGUGCUGGAAGGUUAAGAGGAGUGCUUAGCGUAUGCGAAGGUACGAAUUGAAGCCCCAGUAAACGGCGGCCGUAACUAUAACGGUCCUAAGGUAGCGAAAUUCCUUGUCGGGUAAGUUCCGACCCGCACGAAAGGCGUAACGAUUUGGGCACUGUCUCAACGAGAGACUCGGUGAAAUUUUAGUACCUGUGAAGAUGCAGGUUACCCGCGACAGGACGGAAAGACCCCAUGGAGCUUUACUGUAGUUUGAUAUUGAGUGUCUGUACCGCAUGUACAGGAUAGGUAGGAGCCGUAGAAAUCGGAACGCUAGUUUCGAUGGAGGCGCUGGUGGGAUACUACCCCUGCGUUAUGGCCACUCUAACCCGCACCACUGAUCGUGGUGGGAGACAGUGUCAGAUGGGCAGUUUGACUGGGGCGGUCGCCUC